Long non-coding RNA from Macrobrachium nipponense, 2965 nucleotides. RefSeq lists it as uncharacterized. The transcript is spliced from 2 exons. Lineage: Eukaryota; Metazoa; Arthropoda; Malacostraca; Decapoda; Palaemonidae. The record is from RefSeq and is a predicted model, not a curated record.
CUAUAUAUUGACUUUGAUUGCAAUGAACUCAUUAAAGAAAAUCAUGUUAAAAACUGUAAAUUUCGUGAAUAAAAGUUAAACUUCAUCUUUACUUAUAUUACAGAAUAUAUUUUCGUUCAAGUUGUAUUCAGUGUCAGCUGACUUUACGAGGGAAACUCAGCACAGACAUGCCCGCCGGUAGAAGCAGGCAAAGAAAACUCGGACAUAUCACAUGGGGAGUGUGUAGCUAGUUAGGUACUUCUUAGGUCUACUCAUAAGAUCCCUUAUUCUGUGAAUCUACCACUGGCCGUAUGUCUAUUUCCAGGAAGACCUGCCAACGGUGGGGGGGGGGAGAUGUCCCAACACCCAGGAUUCGCACCUGACCACGUCCUCAGUCCAGCACAGUCUUUGACCCCAGCCUACCCAUAAGCCUAACAAAGGCGCUUACUGGUGCGCCCUGAACUUGGACAAAGCCGACGCCAUCCUCUCCAAAUUACUCUCCAUAAGGCACCCAGAUUGCCCCUGCUGAGUCCGUGCUCACUGUCUCCUUGCAUGGUCUUGGCUUCUUGGAGGAGCUUUGGCGGGAGGCGGAGGAACUUGGCGUGUGUCGGGGGGCCCUUGGUCUCAAUAUGGUGGAAGAUACCUUGCUUGGGCGCUGCCCCAGCCACCUGGUGAAGCUCAGGGCGGAAGACGUCCGGAAACUCCUGGAGAAGGGAGGCAUAUAUGUGAUGGGGAAGGAUGGAACAGAUGGUGGGCGCCCUUGGUCCUCUGGUGAGUGGGCGGGAGAGGCAGGUCUCGGUAUCAAGAAGGCGCUGCCGGGCCACGUCCACCAUGAGGCCGCGGUGGUCAAGGAAAUCCGCCCCCAGGAGAGGGAUCUGUACGUUGGCAAGGAUGAAGAGCCAGGUGUAGGUCUGGCCCAGGAACGCGAUGGUCUGUGCCCUUGUCCCAUAUGUGUGGAUGGGUGUCCCGUUUGCAGCUAAGAGGGCAGUCAGGUCGUCGGGGAUGCGGCUGUGAUCCUCUGCAGACGAAGGAAACACCCACUGCAUGGCACCAAUGUCAACCAGCAUCCUGAGGCUGGAGAUGCUGUCCUGGACGUAGAAGCCCCUGGGUUGGGACUUCGUUACUGCCACUGCCAUGGGGGCUUGUUUUGGGCGCUGCCUAGGUCAUUUUUGAAGGGCGGAAGGAGCAAGGGCGCUCGCACUUCUGUGCCUUGCUGCCGAAUUGGCGGUGGAAGCGGCACCACCCGACGUCUGGGAGGGGCUUCAGCGAUCGCUGUGUGGCGGGAUAACAAGCUUAAAAAACAAGUGGCAAAUUCCCCCCCCCCCCCCCCCCCCAACAUAAACCUAAUCAAUCCAGCUGCCAAACUCACCCUCUGCCACACUUUCCUCUUUACACAACAAAAUACAUGCAGGGCAAUUGACCUACAGCUACACAAAACAAAAAAAACACAACACACAUGUUCUUACCAACCACCCCAGAUACUCCGGGCUAUCGUGUGCUGUCCGCUGGUCGAGGUCACAGAGAUACCAACAACAACCACCAAGAACCACAACACAACAACAAAACAACACCCAAGGACUACAACCCAACAACACAACAACCAAGGACCACAACAGCAACAACCAAGGAACACAACCACACCCUAACAACACAGCAAACAACCAAGGAACACAACCACAACCUCACAUAUAUCAACAAAAACUCAACAACACAAUAAAACACAAAAGAAAGACUACUGCACAACCAACCACCAACACAAAAAAAAUGACGACACAAAAAUGGCAACACACACACCCACUAACAACACCAAGAAAUCACAACAACAACAAAGACAACAGCACAGGCACAACAACCCUAAGCAAACAACACCAACUUAACAAUAACUAAAAACAAAUCAACAAAACACAACUCAAAGGAAUUUCAGUGCCUUCACUGAAAUGCUGCCUGGAUGAGCUUCCUAUUCAGGCCUUCAUAGGGCAGCUCCCCACGCUGGCUGCGUAUCCAUGGCGAGGCAUUUGGAGGCAUCCACUGUGAGGGCCAUGGCGAUGAGGCCUACCUUGGUGCUGACCCGGGUGAUGCCGUGGAUCUGGAACUGUAUUUCUGCCCGUUGCAGCCAUGUUGCGACGUCCUCACUGCAGAAGGGCAGUAGCUUGACGUGGUGGGGCUCUGAUGGUACAAUUGUCUGGGGCGCGGCCACGGUCUGUGAGGAGGACUCGAAUGCGAAGAAGGAUAGUCUUGCAGAUCACGAGGUCAAGGCAGACACAGAGGAAUCGAGUGAAUGUGCUGAACUCUCCAUCAUAUUGUCAGACACACACUUACGGUCGAUGAGAAGUUGUAAAUGGCGGACCAAACCGUAAGACUGAACGCCAAAACACUUCUGUGAAGAAAUGCUGUAGUGAGUCCACUAAUGGCGUCGAAGAGUACCAGAGAACCUAGACUAGGCAUCAUAUGGGUCUGUUAAAGGUUCUCUGAAGGUGAGUGGCAUUAAUUAGUCCCUUAAUGGCAUAGCCAAAACUGCUUGGGUCACCUACUCCUGGGUCACCAAUUGUAAGGUCUGAGCAAUCCGAGGAGAGCGAGUGAACUAACUUAAUUCGGCAAAUGAGGCUGUACAGAAGCGUAGUGUUCGUCACACACACACGAACAAGCAUAAACAAAAGGGACAGAGCCCCCGCUGUGAAUGUGUUUCUUCACAGACGAAAAUACAUGAAUAAUUUUACAUAGAAGGAACGGAUUCCCAACAUAUGUACAUCAAGAGAAAGAGCGUAAAAUGCUCUACAUUUUAGUUCCUGGAAGAAAAGUGAGGACAUAUGGAUAUAGAGACACAAUGCAAGGGCGAACAUUCGCCCAAAUGUCAUCUUUACAGCCCUAACUAUAAUUUUUUUUGUAACAUUUAAGCUGCAAUACUAUAUGAAAUACAAGACAAUAAAUUAUGAAUGCACUGCGAUGUCACGUAAAGAAUGAAUAAAUACAUUUUAUUUUAAAAUUU